AGAAUCAACGCUGGCGGCGUGCCUAACACAUGCAAGUCGAACGAGAAAGUGGAGCAAUCCAUGAGUAAAGUGGCGCACGGGUGAGUAACACGUGACUAACCUACCUUUUAGUGGGGGAUAACCUAGGGAACCUGGGCUAAUACCGCAUAAUACCUACGGGUCAAAAGCAGCAAUGCGCUGAAAGAGGGGGUCGCGGCCGAUUAGCUAGUUGGCGGGGUAAUGGCCCACCAAGGCAGUGAUCGGUA
RNAcentral lists this ribosomal RNA (245 nucleotides) under uncultured bacterium. Its description in RNAcentral is "partial small subunit ribosomal RNA". It matches the Rfam family "Bacterial small subunit ribosomal RNA", at positions 26 to 285 of the family's 1533-position model. The record is from RNAcentral.